UGGGGAAUCUUGCGCAAUGGGCGAAAGCCUGACGCAGCGACGCCGCGUGAGUGAUGAAGGCCUUCGGGUUGUAAAGCUCUGUGGAGGGGGACGAAUAAGUCGGAGCGAAUAGCUCCGAUGAUGACGGUACCCCUUUAGCAAGCACCGGCUAACUCUGUGCCAGCAGCCGCGGUAAGACAGAGGGUGCAAACGUUGUUCGGAAUUACUGGGCGUAAAGCGCGUGUAGGCUGCUCGACAAGUCGGAUGUGAAAGCCCUGGGCUCAACCUAGGAAGUGCAUUCGAUACUGUCGAGCUUGAGUCCUGGAGAGGAAGGCGGAAUUCUCGGUGUAGAGGUGAAAUUCGUAGAUAUCGAGAGGAACACCGGUGGCGAAGGCGGCCUUCUGGACAGUGACUGACGCUGAGACGCGAAAGCGUGGGGAGCAAACAGG
This 428-nucleotide ribosomal RNA is filed under the name uncultured Polyangiaceae bacterium. Its description in RNAcentral is "bacterial SSU rRNA". It matches the Rfam family "Bacterial small subunit ribosomal RNA", at positions 355 to 776 of the family's 1533-position model. Lineage: Bacteria; Pseudomonadati; Myxococcota; Polyangiales; Polyangiaceae. The record is from RNAcentral.